RNAcentral lists this ribosomal RNA (595 nucleotides) under Symmetrospora marina. Its description in RNAcentral is "eukaryotic LSU rRNA". The stretch from base 171 to 324 matches the Rfam family "5.8S ribosomal RNA". The record is from RNAcentral. Lineage: Eukaryota; Fungi; Basidiomycota; Cystobasidiomycetes; Symmetrosporaceae.
UCCGUAGGUGAACCUGCGGAAGGAUCAUUAAUGAAACGAAGGACGCUCUGUUUAGAGGUCCGACCAAUCAUUUACCUUUACACUGUGCACAUACUACUUUUUUACACCAAUUUUUAACGCAUUAGUUUUAAGAAUGUAAGAUCAGUCUCGAAAGAGCAUAAAAUAAACAAAACUUUCAGCAACGGAUCUCUUGGCUCUCGCAUCGAUGAAGAACGCAGCGAAAUGCGAUACGUAAUGUGAAUUGCAGAAUUCAGUGAAUCAUCGAAUCUUUGAACGCACCUUGCACUCUUUGGUAUUCCGAAGAGUAUGUCUGUUUGAGUGUCAUGAAACUCUCUACCCCCUCGUUUUGUAAUGAAAUGCAGCGUGGGCUUGGAUUAUGGCUGUCUGUCGGCGUAAUUGCCGACUCAGCUGAAAUAUACGAGCAACCCAGUUUAAAACCCUGACGGCUUGACUCGGCGUAAUAACUAUUUCGCUGAGGACGUCUAACCUUUUAAAUCGUUAGUGGUGCUUCUAAUGCAUUUAUAAUUUAAGCUUUAGACCUCAAAUCAGUCAGGACUACCCGCUGAACUUAAGCAUAUCAAUAAGCGGAGGAAAA